AACGAACGCUGGCGGCAUGCCUAACACAUGCAAGUCGAACGAGACCUUCGGGUCUAGUGGCGCACGGGUGCGUAACGCGUGGGAACCUGCCCUUUGGUUCGGAAUAACUCCCCGAAAGGGGUGCUAAUACCGGAUAAUGUCUUCGGACCAAAGAUUUAUCGCCUUUGGAUGGGCCCGCGUUGGAUUAGCUAGUUGGUAGGGUAAAAGCCUACCAAGGCGACGAUCCAUAGCUGGUCUGAGAGGAUGAUCAGCCACACUGGGACUGAGACACGGCCCAGACUCCUACGGGAAGCAGCAGUGGGGAAUAUUGGACAAUGGGCGAAAGCCUGAUCCAGCAAUGCCGCGUGAGUGAUGAAGGCCUUAGGGUUGUAAAGCUCUUUUACCCGGGAUGAUAAUGACAGUACCGGGAGAAUAAGCUCCGGCUAACUCCGUG
This 433-nucleotide ribosomal RNA is filed under the name uncultured bacterium. Its description in RNAcentral is "partial 16S ribosomal RNA". It matches the Rfam family "Bacterial small subunit ribosomal RNA", at positions 29 to 507 of the family's 1533-position model. The record is from RNAcentral.